UACGUAGGGGGCAAGCGUUGUCCGGAAUCAUUGGGCGUAAAGAGCGUGUAGGCGGUUCAGUAAGUCUGCUGUGAAAGUCCAGGGCUCAACCCUGGGAUGCCGGUGGAUACUGUUGGGCUAGAGUACGGAAGAGGCGAGUGGAAUUCCCGGUGUAGCGGUGAAAUGCGCAGAUAUCGGGAGGAACACCUAUUGCGAAGGCAGCUCGCUGGGACGUUACUGACGCUGAGACGCGAAAGCGUGGGGAGCAAACAGG
This 253-nucleotide ribosomal RNA is filed under the name uncultured bacterium. RNAcentral describes it as "partial 16S ribosomal RNA". It matches the Rfam family "Bacterial small subunit ribosomal RNA", at positions 524 to 776 of the family's 1533-position model. The record is from RNAcentral.